CGGUGUUGUGUGUCAUGUCCUUAUCUUCCUUUUCAUCGUGUAUCAAACUCAAUCUCAAUCCCAUUUUCACUGAGUUCCCAUAUUGGCAAAUCCCACACCGAGUUCCCAUAUUGGCAAAUGACAAGGACGAAAACAAAAAAUCAUAGGAGUAUAUUGCAAAGACGAAAUGCUUCCAUAAAACCAUGGAAAAUGUUUUGUCGCAACUGCCUUUUGCAAUAAAUUCUUGUUGGAGAUUUAGGGAGGGAAGAUUGAAAAAUUAUCAACCAUCUUCAAAUGUUUAUGUUUCUAACUAUCCGAUUUUGGUGGCUGCAAGUCAAAAUUGUAAGAAAAAAAAUGAUUAAAUGAAAUCGUUGAACUUAAGUCAACAUAAAUUGUGGUAAUUUCUCAAGAUGUUCAUUACUGCAGGGUCUUGCAUUAAAAAAAACAGUAGAAAAGAAUGUAAAGGUUGCUGAAGUUUGUCAAGAUGCGAUUGGAGAUGAAAAGUUGAUAUAGAAAGUAGAUCAAAAGCAUAGAAAUGAAUCAAAUUGUUACAGAUAUAACUAUCCAACUCAAACCUAAGUUUUAAAACAUGGGCAUGAACCUUAAGAAGAAACGGGUAACUGUGUUUAUCAAGAAAGAUUUCAUUUUCUUUUUCAGUUAUCAUUUCUUUGUAAAGAACAAUAGCAUGGUGUUUGUGAUUUGUGGAUUUGGCGUAGACUCAUAUGAGAAUGUUCCACAUGAAGGACAUGUUCAUA
Long non-coding RNA from Lathyrus oleraceus (garden pea), 734 nucleotides. RefSeq lists it as uncharacterized. NCBI's taxonomy places the organism in Eukaryota, Viridiplantae, Streptophyta, Magnoliopsida, Fabales, Fabaceae. The transcript has 3 exons. The record is from RefSeq and is a predicted model, not a curated record.